GCCUUCGUGGUGUAGUGGUAGCACACUCGGCACGUAUUCGAGAGGUCCAGGGUUCAAAUCCCGAGGAGGGCA
Molecule: non-coding RNA, 72 nt
Organism: Stegodyphus mimosarum
Lineage: Eukaryota; Metazoa; Arthropoda; Arachnida; Araneae; Eresidae
Source: Rfam